GCUGGCGACUAGCGCGACGGGGCCACACCCGUUCCCAUCCCGAACACGGUCGUUAAGCCCGUCAGCGCCGAUGGUACUGCCCCUGCGAGGGGGUGGGAGAGUAGGCCGCCGCCAGCU
This 117-nucleotide ribosomal RNA is filed under the name Gemmatimonadota bacterium. Lineage: Bacteria; Pseudomonadati; Gemmatimonadota. The record is from RNAcentral.